RNAcentral lists this ribosomal RNA (305 nucleotides) under uncultured bacterium. Its description in RNAcentral is "bacterial SSU rRNA". It matches the Rfam family "Bacterial small subunit ribosomal RNA", at positions 337 to 640 of the family's 1533-position model. The record is from RNAcentral.
UCCUACGGGAGGCAGCAGUGAGGAAUAUUGGUCAAUGGCCGAGAGGCUGAACCAGCCAAGUCGCGUGAGGGAAGAAUGUCCUAUGGAUUGUAAACCUCUUUUGUCAGGGAGCAAAGUCACCCACGUGUGGGUGUUGGAGAGUACCUGAAGAAAAAGCAUCGGCUAACUCCGUGCCAGCAGCCGCGGUAAUACGGAGGAUGCGAGCGUUAUCCGGAUUUAUUGGGUUUAAAGGGUGCGUAGGCGGAAUGCCAAGUCAGCGGUAAAAUCGCGGGGCUCAACCUCGCUCCGCCGUUGAAACUGGCGUU